Molecule: long non-coding RNA, 1332 nt
Organism: Mustela lutreola (European mink)
Lineage: Eukaryota; Metazoa; Chordata; Mammalia; Carnivora; Mustelidae
Exons: 3
Source: RefSeq, a predicted model, not a curated record
ACAGUCAACGUUCGGAGUCCUGGAGGCUGCAGGGCCCGCAGACUCACCCGAUGGAGCUCUGUCUGGAACCCAGGGUUAGGCUCCGCUGGGGGGGGCCUCCCUCGCCUGCCGUUCUGUCCUGAGACGUUUCCCAUCUCCCGUGGUCCUGAUACCCCAGGGCUACCCCCGAGACGCCUGGAGCCCUUAAGGAAGUCGGGGUCAGAAGGACAGAAAUGCUGGAAGAACUCUGGGCUUCACCAUGCUGGCUUCAGGGGGUCCCGGGCCACACACAGUGGACUGCACAAGUCCGGGGCUCCUCUCUGCCGGGUGAGGGGGCUUGGACGCCCCUGAGACGGAGGGAAAACAGGGAAGGCAUUUUCAAGGUGUGAAAGGUCAGCUCGGCCUGGAGUUUUCAGUAGGGACCCUGGAGAGAAGAGAGAGGCCAUCUCCACGUCACACGUCUGGGGAACACACCGUGGCCCCCCGCUUCCCCCUACUCCUCCACUGAGAGGUCCAAGCCCCAGAGGGGUGGUGUCCCCCAUGCUCCCUGUGGACGCUGUAAUUUAUCCUCGACGAGGAGCUGGACGCAGUGUCGGCGUGUGCAUGGAACACCACAGGUCACGUCACAAAGCAUGACCCCCCAGAAAUGUGGCCAAGGGCAACGAGUCCGAGAUUACCUUCCGCCAAGCAAACUGACUUAACCCCUCGCCUAAAAUAACGUCAUGUGUAUGAUUUCAGUUUAUUCUCAAAAUCAUCAACGUAUUGCUAUUUUCAGUAACUGGUGUUGCAUUUUACUGACCACUGUCUCUCUCACAUGGCAGAAAUCUCACCGAAGUAGUAAAAUGAAAUCUGAACCUCCAUCUUUUGAACAAAACAGCUUUAUUGCUUUGAGGGCGUGGUGGAGAAGUUUAGGGGAGAUAGAUUUCGGGCAGGUAAACUCCCUCGGGGUUUUUCAUGAAGACCCGAAAAUGGUUUAUCAUCAGCUUAUCAGUUACUCUAUUGAAAUGGAAGAUUUUUAUGGUUCUGGAAAAGCCUGUUUCUUCUCCACUGCAGUGCUACCUGGUUUUACACCUCCUUUGUUCAGUUGACUCUGACCUCAUCACUUCUACCAAAGUACACAUCAACCCGGAUCCUGCAAAAUCUUACACAUUUCAAAUGGGACGCCUGGGUGGCUCAGUUGGUUAAGCAGCUGCCUUCGGCUCAGGUCAUGAUCCCAGCGUCCUGGGAUUGAGUCCCACAUCGGGCUCCUGGCUCCGCAGGGAGCCUGCUUCUCCCUCUGACUCUGCCUGCCACUCUGUCUGCCUGUGCUCGCUCUUGCUCUCUCUCUGACAAAUAAAUAAAUAAAAUCUUAAA